CCCCAAAACGGGGGUCCCCUCGUUCCCGAGAAUAAAGUAACUGAACGUAAAUGGCUCUCCGACCACGGAUUCCAACGGGCGAGGGAGGGAGAGGGGGAAGGGCGGGGGAAAGGAAAAAGAGGGAACAUCUCGAGCAUCACGGGAGUCGUAGGCCGCUUGGAUUGUGGGAAACGUAGUCUCCCGAGGCGGCCUUCCGCUUUAGCUUCUUCCCUGUCAUGGCUGCUUCCCGUCCGUGAACAUCGGAGGCCUGAGCCCGGGGAGUGUUGGCUGCUUUCGCCCCUGCCGCCGCGCUGGGUGCUCCCAGAGAAAGGCUUUGCAAAUGGAUGGAAUGAGAAGACACUCUCUGAAGAAACUGGAAGUGCAGCUUCUCUCAGAAUCAUAGCUCUAGAAGGAUCCUCAGAAGUCCUUUGA
RNAcentral lists this long non-coding RNA (411 nucleotides) under Sarcophilus harrisii (Tasmanian devil). Its description in RNAcentral is "lncRNA (ENSSHAG00000022981.1)". The record is from RNAcentral. Lineage: Eukaryota; Metazoa; Chordata; Mammalia; Dasyuromorphia; Dasyuridae.